AACAAGAAUGGCAUACUAAAUUUAAUUCCUUUGAUUUCUAUUAUCAAUAAAUACAAAGAAUUUGUUGAGGUUAAUGUACAAAAAAUCUGCUUUUCACCCACCUCUAAAACACAAACCGCAUAAAUGAUUUACAUCUUUGUUCUAGAAAGAAUCAACACUCUAAACAUAAACUAUUAUCAAACCCAUCACUAGCUUUUGCAUGCCUGUUAUAAUAUACCAUCUAACAUUGCUAGCAUAAUCCCUUUCAAACAGGAACUUUAGAAAAGAAAAGGGGUAAUCUGUACACCACAGAUAAAAAAAAAUCAUACUACUUCCUCCAUUGCAAACCUUUUAUCUUCUCUAGAAAUCUGCUUCUCAAUGACUUGGGCAACAUGAUAUAGAUACUGCAUCAAAAUGAUGCUCCUUUCUCAGAGCAAAAAUAGUCCAAAUCUACAAGGCUAAUCAAUGUACGGUGCUUGGGCUUCCUCAAACAAACAGCAUCUGGAGGUAAAAUGCAGUCCCAAAACGAGUAGCAGUAUGACAUUGAAGCUAUUUGACACGGAAUUCAUGCCUGAAAACAGCCAGAUUCUGAGUAAACCUGUCCCUGUUCUUUGAAUCCAAGCUCUGAGUAACAUCAGCCAUCAGUUUGUCGAAACAAAGGGAAAGCCGCUGAUGUUGAUCCACUGGCUGCAAACAAGAUGCAAAAUGUCACCAGAAGAUUGAUAUUGUGCAGACAGCCAAACACAAACAACCACAAAUUUUUAGCAAUCCAAGUUCACCCAUUCAUUAAAAGCAACCUUCUUCUUACUCCUAAAUACAUAACCCCUGAUAAUUCUUUUGACCCAAAUGCUUCAAACUUUUUUUACAUUCAACCCAACAAGAAUUGAGCUAUCUAACAUAAAACUUUGGCAAAUUCAAAAUUAAAACAAAACUAUUAAUCUUUUAGAAUUACCCUCCAUUGCAUUUGCACCUACAUAUCACACAAUAAGACCCAACAUACAAGUAUUAACUGGACUCCAUUCUUCAGUUUAAAGAUGGUACAUUUAUUAAAAAAAAUGCACGCAGAAAAACACUUACUUGUGAAGAUAAAAUUUGAGCUUUCAAAUCAGAGAAUAUCUGCUCACUAAUAAGAAUUAAGCUCAGCAUAGGUCUACUGAGACUCCACUGGUUGCCACAAUCCUCAAAUAAAACAAUCUCAAACAGGGUCUUCAGUAUCUGUAGAUUUAUAAAAAAAGAAUUACAUACACAUAUAUUUAGUAAAUAAUAAAUGUUCAAGAAAACAUAACUUCCUGUCAACUUAGAAUAAGUUUCGAAUUUCAUAAAAACUGGAAAAUUCAUAAAUUCCAAACAAUAAUCCUAUUCUUUCAAAUAGAAUCUCAAUUGAAGAGACACCCACACACACUAAUAAAAAAAAUAAAAAAUGUAUAAAAGGAUGCAAAACCAGGAGAAAGCUCCAGAGGACAUAUCAACUAAAUAGCGGAGUAACACAAGAAAGGCAGCAAAUUGAUUCCAGCAUUGUCUUUCACCAGAAAAACAUUUUUCCCCUUCGAAAGGCACAAGAGAGUAACCUUUGUAAUAAAGAAAAAUAAAAGCUUACUUCUGGAAAUAAAUUAGGGCAGUCUGCAAUAUGUCGAGCAAGAUUAAUUGCAGCAGGUGAAGUGGGUGCCUCCCCCAUUGUGAUGUUGUUAAAAUAGAAAGCAGCCAAAUUAUCAACAGCAGAUGCACACUGUUAUGGCAUUCAGAUUUGUUAGCUUGAAACAAAUGUAAAACAUUCAAGAUAAAACCAGGCGAGUUAUUAUGCUCAAGAAAGAUGUUUAACUAUCUCUAUUGUAAAAAGACAAGAUGUAGGUAGUUAAGAAGAAUAAUGGCCAUCUGUAGCCUAAGAGUGACACACCUGCGAUGAGAUAUUUGUAUCCAAACCUUUAAGACCAGAUUCUAGAGAGCCAACAAUAUGCAUGAAGGUGUUUGUGUCCAGAUUCAAAAUAAAAACAAUAUGGCUGCUGAACAGAACCUCCAAGAAUGCAAAGUAAGCUCUUGUCAGCUUCCGGUAUGCCAAUAUAUCAGCUAGAGGUAUUGAUAGUGUCAUCUUUAGAGCAAUAUCGAGUACAUCAGCGAGGGCUCUAUCACCAUAAAGUUCAAACACGCCAAAGUUGACAUAGUUUCCCGCAAGAGCUCUAGAGAGAAUAGUUAAGCAUAUCCAUAUUCCCUUGUAUUUGUAGGCAUAUAUAUCAGCAGCAUUUGGAAGAGCUAAGAUCCUGGUGCCAUAGGCUACAAUGAGCUUGCUGACCUCCCGGAAAAGAAGAAUGCCAUUAGGAGAAGAAGAAUCAAACGUUAAACGUUGGGCUUUGUUUAACACAAAUUCAGCCAUGAAUUUCAACAAUGGGGUAGUAACCUCUGGUGUAUCUGCCCAAUGUGAGAUGCCUUUCAAGAGAAGUGACAAAUGAGCAGGAUAUAGCCAAUCAAAUAAAAGCCCAUAAGUUCUGCGACUAUUUGUAGCCAUAGCAAUUCCUCUAAGAUCCCUCAUCAAGCCAAUUAGAGCAUACUUUACUGCUUCAGUUCGAAACAUUGAAUCAGGUGUUGAUUCCAAACUGAUAAAAACUUGCAAAAGUGGUUCCAUUGAAGACUUGAAUUUCACUGGGCUGUCGUCCAUAAAUAUUAACCAACCAAUAGUGUAAUAAAAUGUUGUUCUGCUACGAGAGCAUCUAUACUCUUCUAGAAAAGGAAAGUGCUCCCUAGUAUGGUUAGCGACUAUAAAUUUAAUAGCAUCCAACUUCAGAAGCAACUUCCCAGUCAUAUAGCCAGAUGCCAACUCCAAAAACAAAUUUAAUGUGUGAUCAAUGACUUCCUCACUCUGUGUAUAACACUUAAGAUUAGUAGCAAUCUUCCUGACAAUCACAUUUAAUAAUACCAGAUGAUCGUGUAGUCCAAGAAGCUCAGACAAUCGAGCAUAUAACUGCUUGGAUGAGUGCACAGCCUGAUCACCUACAUAAGACUUUCGGAAAUGCUGAAAGAAGAUGAGAAUUGCUCGAUCAAGUCUUUGCUUACUCAGUUCGCCAUAUCUCUGACUAUGUAGCCCACUAUCACUGACAUUUAUUAAUUGCAAAACACGAGCUGAAAGUUCUGCAUCAAGCACUUCUUGUAACUCUGCACUACUGCCGGUGGAUUGUUUGAUUUUAAGAAUAGCAGCAAUAAUAUGAACAAUCCAAGCAAGCUUGGCCUCAAUAACAGAAAGUUCAUUGCCAUCGGUGGUCUGUACUCUUGCUCUCUCCGUGUAUGUUCGCAGAAUAGGCUCCAUCAUGUUCAUUAUAUAUAAACCACUGCUUUCAUACUGGAAUCUACAGAGAUAAGGAAAGCAAUCUAGCUGAUCCUGAAGAAGUUCAACAUUGUCUAAAGGAUUGUCAGAGAGAUCAUCCGGGAAUCCAGCCUGAACAGAGUUGAACCUUGAUGUAAUAAAUCCUUCAGUAAUCUUGGGCACAAAUUCAUCAAGCAAACUUGGUGCAUCACCUUUCAAAUAUGGUACUGAUGUCACUAGUCUGGACCAAAGCCCUAAAAGGUAGUAGACACUACUACUGGCCCACUGAUAGACAUUAAAACAAUUAGCAAUUUAAGUCACAGAAUGCAUCAUCAAUCUUAAAAUUCAAGGCUCGAUAAAAGAAAAGAAUUAAAAUACAUGAAAUUAAAAACUAGAUAAAAUAUACAUCAAGCAAUUUAAGUCACAGAAGGCAUCAUCAAUCUUGAAGUUUAAGGCUUGAUAAUAGAAAAGAAUUAAAAUCCAUGAAAUUAAAAACUAGAUAUAAUAUACAUCAAACAAUAUUUACACAUGAUUAUCCAUCAAAUUUUUGGGAAACAAAGUUGUGAACACCAAUCAACCUGCCAAGACUGCAAAGACUUUAUAGUGAACUCUGCUACUAAUCGUAUCCAAUCACCAUAGCCGUCCACAUUCACAAGCUCUGAUAACUGAUAGUUCACUCUGAAACGUCCAAGGAGACGACAAUACUCAUGGUAAUUAUCAUGAUCAGUAAGACCUUGUCCAGUUUGUAGGAUUUCUUUGGUUAGUGUCAUUAAAUGCGCCAAAAACUUAGAACGAGCAGCAUCAUUUGAGAACAAAGAGCGACGUACAGAUGCUAGCCGGACCAAACACUCCAAUGCCUCCUUUGAAAGAGGGGAUGUUGCGAUAGCAUAGUAAUCAAAAAAUAUCUGCAAUGUCGAUGGAUCCUCUAAAACUGGCCUCCAAGAUGAUGGAAUCUGAACAGUACCAAAUUCCUCCGAACUUUCAUCAAUCGAUGUCCCAACAAAAUCAAACGAUAAACAUUUUAGAGAAAGCGAAAGUGCCAACUCUUGCAAUCGCAUUGCAACAUCAUUUUUCAAUUGUCGCAGUGAGGUUAAAGAUAUUUGGAAUAUUUGGUAAAGUGACUGAUCCCUAAAGGAGCAGGCUACCCUUCGAUGGUGCGUUGAAGGCAGCCCUGUAUUGGGCUGAGAAUUUAAGUAUCAAAGACACACAUGUAGAUGUCAGUAAACAGAUAUUUAUGAAAAUAGAAAAUGCAGUAGCAUCAGUAACAGUAGCAAUGAUAGAAGUUGUGGAAGAGAUUAAUAAAAGAGAUCACAUUCCAAUUGAAAAAUUAGUUGCAUUGUAUAUGAUUCUGAUGGUGAAGGUCAUAUGUGAGGGGCUUUCAUCAACGUGUGACAACAUGUCUGAAUGAAUUGUUCAAAACAAUUUGUACAACUAGUAGCAUGCUACAAGAAAACUAUUAUAUGCAGGAAUUAUCGGGCUCAUUCACUAUUUAUAUACAAAGAGUGCACUAUACACAGUAUGGUCUAAACAUAGGCCCUUCAUCUCAAAAAUUAGUCAAAUUUCUCCAUUCUCUCAAGCAAAUGGAUGACUCAUGACACUCCUAUUGAUACACAGCGCAUUCUGUGUGUUGCACGUUGUCAAAACAAGCGCCAUAGGUACAUCAGGAUUGCAAUGCUUGAAUAAUUUUUCAUCUGCUUUUAUGUGGCAGCUUAGCUAAAUAAGCAUUAAUUUAAUGACGAUGAGCUACAAAUCUUUGGAAAAAAGAUACAUUAUCUUUUAAAAAAAAAAAUUAGAAUCAUAAAUAUUCUGUGCAGCAUGCACUAUACUAUAUAUACUUUUAGGUAUCUUUUGCUCCUUCCAGAGUUUACAUAUUUUAUUUUCUAAUGCAGUGUUGAGAAAUUUUGACAAAUGUAAUAAACUAACCUGAUUCAUCUCAGAGACAAGUUGAUUCAGUAUCUUCAAACCAAUGGCAUAGUGAUCUGAUGUUGCCUGACUCAAGAAGUUUGUAGACUCCUUAACCACUUCUCUAAAUCUAUCAUCAUCAAACCACCCGAACUUGGUAACUCUACACAACAGCUGGAUUAGAGAUGCGGUAACGAAAGGCUGCAACUCAGGUCCUCUGGUGGCCAGAUAGCCAACAAGGUAAUUACGAAUAUCCAGACGGAGCUGUAGCGAGAGGCUAUGCUCGGUAACUUGCUUGAGCAGACUAGAACUAGCGAGCAUCAAUGCAUAAGGAGUCAAUGCAUUAUCAAGAAUGUACUGGCAUUGAGAGAUGUAAUCAGUGUUCAUCGAGAAGCAUUUCAGAGUGUUCUCCGCGUGAGCUCUCUCCACAGAAUCCUGUGAGUUAUACAGCCUCUCACACAAUGCUUCUAGUUGCGCUAAGCUCUCCAUCAUCACUUCUUCCAACCAACCUGAAAACAACGACAACCUUCAUCAAUACAAACGUGAUCAAAACGAAGAAUCUGAAAAUUCGUAAGUAAACAAGAAAAGUCUGCUUCAUUUAACCAAAAAACAAUCGAAUACUAACAAAUACAAAUUAAAAGUAAAAUCUCUAGGGUUUUUGAAGCAUCAACAAAGAUCAAAACAAACGCCGCAAACAAAAUCGCCACAAUGCAGAAUCACUUCCGUGCGAUUCCAAGCGGAAAAAAAAAAUUUUUAAAUCGCGAAUUACUACAGAAAACGAAGGCGAAAUAAUCGAAGAAAAUGAAACUGAAGCUGGAAAUGAAACGAUUGAUCACAGGCUCGCAUCACCAGAAGUUCAUAACAGAGACCAAAAACAGAGAUAGAUACAGAGAGGUAUAGAGAGGGAUUACCUUUGGACCAGAGAUCUAGAAACUAAAGAUUAAUCAACUAAAUUGAGAAGAAAAUAUAGAACAUCAAAGAGAGAAUGCUAUUCCUUUUUAGCU
RNAcentral lists this unclassified non-coding RNA (6177 nucleotides) under Hevea brasiliensis (rubber tree). Lineage: Eukaryota; Viridiplantae; Streptophyta; Magnoliopsida; Malpighiales; Euphorbiaceae. The record is from RNAcentral.